Molecule: ribosomal RNA, 301 nt
Filed under: uncultured bacterium
Lineage: Bacteria
Description: partial 16S ribosomal RNA
Rfam family: Bacterial small subunit ribosomal RNA
Source: RNAcentral
CAGUAGCCGCGGUAAUACGAAGGGGGCUAGCGUUGUUCGGAAUUACUGGGCGUAAAGGGCGCGUAGGCGGCCAUUCAAGUUAGAUGUGAAAGCCCUGGGCUCAACCUAGGAAUUGCAUUUGAUACUGUUUGGCUUGAGUUCGGGAGAGGUGAGUGGAAUUCCCAGUGUAGAGGUGAAAUUCGUAGAUAUUGGGAAGAACACCAGUGGCGAAGGCGGCUCACUGGCUCAUACUGGACGCUGAGGUGCGAAAGCGUGGGGAGCAAACAGGAUUAGAUACCCGCGUAGUCCCUGUCUCUUAUAC